CGGAGUGUAGCUCAGCCUGGUAGAGCACCGUCUUCGGGAGGCGGGGGCCGCCGGUUCAAGUCCGGCCACUCCGACCA
RNAcentral lists this transfer RNA (77 nucleotides) under Gammaproteobacteria bacterium. RNAcentral's name for it is "tRNA-Pro". It matches the Rfam family "tRNA". From Rfam's summary of the family: Transfer RNA (tRNA) molecules are approximately 80 nucleotides in length. The record is from RNAcentral. Lineage: Bacteria; Pseudomonadati; Pseudomonadota; Gammaproteobacteria.